This 119-nucleotide small nucleolar RNA is filed under the name Tupaia belangeri (northern tree shrew). RNAcentral's name for it is "Small nucleolar RNA U109 (ENSTBEG00000021225.1)". It matches the Rfam family "Small nucleolar RNA U109". The record is from RNAcentral. Lineage: Eukaryota; Metazoa; Chordata; Mammalia; Scandentia; Tupaiidae.
UUGGAUGUCGUACUAUCAUUCCGUUUGGGAACAGAAAUACAUCAUCACAUGCUACAUUACAAAGUUCUCCAGGCUGCAGCUACUGUAGAGUCGAGUGGUAGUAAAUUUCUACUACAUAA